CUGGUUGAUCCUGCCAGACCCGACUGCUAUCGGAUUGGGACUAAGCCAUGCGAGUCAACUCCGCAAGGGGUGGCGCACGGCUCAGUAACACGUAGUCAACCUACCCUGGGGACGGGGAUAACCUCGGGAAACUGAGGCUAAACCCCGAUGGGCCAUGGCUCCUGGAAUGGGCUAUGGCUGAAAUCUUCAUGGCCCCAGGAUGGGACUGCGGCCGAUCAGGUUGUUGGUGGGGUAAUGGCCCACCAAGCCUAUAACCGGUGCGGGCUCUGAGAGGAGGAGCCCGGAGAUGGGCACUGAGACAAGGGCCCAGGUCCUAUGGGGCGCAGCAGGCGCGAAACCUCCGCAAUGGGCGAAAGCCCGACGGGGUCAGUCCGAGUGGUUCCCGCUGAGGGAACCUUUUGCCAGCUGUAAACAGGCUGGCGAAUAAGGGGUGGGCAAGUUUGGUGUCAGCCGCCGCGGUAAUACCAGCACCCCGAGUGGUCGGGACGAUUAUUGGGCCUAAAGCAUCCGUAGCCGGCCCAGUAAGUCCUCCGUUAAAUCCAACGGCUCAACCGUUGGGCUGCGGGGGAUACUGCUGGGCUAGGGGACGGGAGAGGCGAGGGGUAUUCCCGGGGUAGGGGUAAAAUCCACUGAUCCCGGGAGGACCACCAGUGGCGAAGGCGCCUCGCUAGAACGUGCCCGACGGUGAGGGAUGAAAGCUGGGGGAGCGAACCGGAUUAGAUACCCGGGUAGUCCCAGCCGUAAACGAUGUAGGCUCGGUGUUGGGCUGCCUCAGUGGCAGCCCAGUGCCGCAGGGAAGCCGUUAAGCCUACCGCCUGGGGAGUACGGCCGCAAGGCUGAAACUUAAAGGAAUUGGCGGGGGAGCACCAC
This 870-nucleotide ribosomal RNA is filed under the name uncultured archaeon. RNAcentral's name for it is "bacterial SSU rRNA". It matches the Rfam family "Archaeal small subunit ribosomal RNA", at positions 4 to 882 of the family's 1478-position model. The record is from RNAcentral.